UGCAGUCGAGCGGAACGAGUUAUCUGAACCUUCGGGGAACGAUAACGGCGUCGAGCGGCGGACGGGUGAGUAAUGCCUAGGAAAUUGCCCUGAUGUGGGGGAUAACCAUUGGAAACGAUGGCUAAUACCGCAUAAUGCCUACGGGCCAAAGAGGGGGACCUUCGGGCCUCUCGCGUCAGGAUAUGCCUAGGUGGGAUUAGCUAGUUGGUGAGGUAAUGGCUCACCAAGGCGACGAUCCCUAGCUGGUCUGAGAGGAUGAUCAGCCACACUGGAACUGAGACACGGUCCAGACUCCUACGGGAGGCAGCAGUGGGGAAUAUUGCACAAUGGGCGCAAGCCUGAUGCAGCCAUGCCGCGUGUGUGAAGAAGGCCUUCGGGUUGUAAAGCACUUUCAGUCGUGAGGAAGGUGGUGUUGUUAAUAGCUGUAUUAUUUGACGUUAGCGACAGAAGAAGCACCGGCUAACUCCGUGCCAGCAGCCGCGGUAAUACGGAGGGUGCGAGCGUUAAUCGGAAUUACUGGGCGUAAAGCGCAUGCAGGUGGUUUGUUAAGUCAGAUGUGAAAGCCCGGGGCUCAACCUCGGAAUUGCAUUUGAAACUGGCAGACUAGAGUACUGUAGAGGGGGGUAGAAUUUCAGGUGUAGCGGUGAAAUGCGUAGAGAUCUGAA
Molecule: ribosomal RNA, 665 nt
Filed under: bacterium SCSIO13084
Lineage: Bacteria
Description: bacterial SSU rRNA
Rfam family: Bacterial small subunit ribosomal RNA
Source: RNAcentral